This 253-nucleotide ribosomal RNA is filed under the name uncultured bacterium. RNAcentral describes it as "partial 16S ribosomal RNA". It matches the Rfam family "Bacterial small subunit ribosomal RNA", at positions 524 to 776 of the family's 1533-position model. The record is from RNAcentral.
UACGGAGGGUGCAAGCGUUGUCCGGAUUUAUUGGGUUUAAAGGGUGCGUAGGCGGUCUUUUAAGUCGGGUGUGAAAGCCCAGGGCUCAACCCUGGAAGUGCACUCGAAACUGAUUGGCUUGAAUAUGGAAGAGGGUUGCGGAAUUCCCGGUGUAGAGGUGAAAUUCGUAGAUAUCGGGAGGAACACCAGUGGCGAAGGCGGCAACCUGGGCCAAUAUUGACGCUGAGGUGCGAAAGCGUGGGGAGCAAACAGG